GCCCUCGUAGCUCAAUCGGAUAGAGCAGCUGACUUCGGAUCAGCAGGUUGUGGGUUCGAGUCCUGCCGAGGGCGCCA
This 77-nucleotide transfer RNA is filed under the name Thermoflexus hugenholtzii. Its description in RNAcentral is "tRNA-Arg". It matches the Rfam family "tRNA". From Rfam's summary of the family: Transfer RNA (tRNA) molecules are approximately 80 nucleotides in length. Lineage: Bacteria; Bacillati; Chloroflexota; Thermoflexia; Thermoflexales; Thermoflexaceae. RNAcentral also lists the same sequence under 6 other names. The record is from RNAcentral.